RNAcentral lists this ribosomal RNA (497 nucleotides) under uncultured bacterium. RNAcentral's name for it is "partial 16S ribosomal RNA". It matches the Rfam family "Bacterial small subunit ribosomal RNA", at positions 28 to 507 of the family's 1533-position model. The record is from RNAcentral.
GAUGAACGCUGGCGGCGUGCCUAAUACAUGCAAGUCGAGCGAACGGACGAGAAUCUUGCUUCUCUGAUGUUAGCGGCGGACGGGUGAGUAACACGUGGAUAACCUACCUAUAAGACUGGUAUAACUUCGGGAAACCGGAGCUAAUACCGGAUGAUCUUUUGAACCGCAUGGUUCAAAAGUGAAAGACGGUCUUGCUGUCACUUAUAGAUGGAUCCGCGCUGCAUUAGCUAGUUGGUAAGGUAACGGCUUUCCAAGGCAACGAUGCAUAGCCGACCUGAGAGGGUGAUCGGCCACACUGGAACUGGAACACGGUCCAGACUCCUACGAGAGGCAGCAGUCGGGAAUCGGCGGCAGUAGGCGGAAGCCUGACAGAGCAGCGCGAAGUGAGUGGUGAAGGCCUUCGGAUCGUAAUGCUCUGUUAUGAGGUGGAAACAUAUGUGUAAGUAACUGUGGACAUCUUGACGGUACCGAAUCAGAAAGCCACGGCUAACUACGUG